Zootermopsis nevadensis is the source of this 152-nucleotide non-coding RNA. NCBI's taxonomy places the organism in Eukaryota, Metazoa, Arthropoda, Insecta, Blattodea, Termopsidae. The record is from RefSeq and is a predicted model, not a curated record.
UGCUGUGCAAAAUCAGAAAGUCAAAAGACCGCCCAUGGAUUCAUAAUUUACUCCAAUGAAUGGCGUAAGAGACUGGCACUUCAGUACCCUCAUGAAAACAACAAUAACAUCAGUGUGAGACUUGGCGGAAUGUGGAAGGCAAUGAAGAAAGA